AGAGUUUGAUCCUGGCUCAGAGCGAACGCUGGCGGCGUACUUAACACAUGCAAGUCGAACGAGGAUCAUCAGUGUAGCAAUACAUUGGUGGUCCUAGUGGCGCACGGGUGAGUAACACGUGGGUAACCUGCCCUUGAGCUCGGGAUACCCCCUCGAAAGGGGGGCUAAUACCGGAUACGUUCCUCGGAUCGACAGGUCUGGGGAGGAAAGGUGGCGCAAGCUGCCGCUCUUGGAGGGGCUCGCGGCCUAUCAGCUAGUUGGCGGGGUAACGGCCCACCAAGGCUAUGACGGGUAGCUGGUCUGAGAGGACGACCAGCCACACGGGGACUGAGACACGGCCCCGACUCCUACGGGAGGCAGCAGUGGGGAAUUUUCCGCAAUGGGCGAAAGCCUGACGGAGUGACGCCGCGUGUGGGACGAAGGCCUUCGGGUCGUAAACCACUGUCAGUGGGAAAGAAGGGUGUCGGUGCUAAUACCAUCGGCAUUUGACGGUACCUGCAGAGGAAGCCCCGGCCAACUCUGUGCCAGCAGCCGCGGUAAGACAGAGGGGGCAAGCGUUGCUCGGAAUUACUGGGCGUAAAGGGCGCGUAGGCGGGAUGGCAAGUCGGUCGUGAAAUCCUUCGGCUCAACCGAAGAACGUCGAUCGAUACUGCUGUUCUUGAGGGUUGCAGAGGAGACUGGAAUUCCCGGUGUAGCGGUGAAAUGUGUAGAGAUCGGGAGGAACACCGGUGGCGAAGGCGGGUCUCUGGGCAAUUCCUGACGCUGAGGCGCGAAAGCGUGGGGAGCAAACGGGAUUAGAUACCCCCGUAGUCC
Molecule: ribosomal RNA, 813 nt
Filed under: uncultured bacterium
Lineage: Bacteria
Description: bacterial SSU rRNA
Rfam family: Bacterial small subunit ribosomal RNA
Source: RNAcentral